Caulobacterales bacterium is the source of this 90-nucleotide non-coding RNA. Lineage: Bacteria; Pseudomonadati; Pseudomonadota; Alphaproteobacteria; Caulobacterales. The record is from Rfam.
AUCAGGCUGCGCUUGCGGCCAGGCCGGCGCCGUCUUCACACGAUGAAGCGGCGAACCCGGUCCGACGCCCGUCGAUAACCUGGCGUCACG